GCUAAUGGUGGAUGAGAGAGAGAGAGAGAGAGAGUGUCAUGAUAAAGGAUAUUGAGCACAGACUUCACCACUGGGUCGACUCUGGGGGCCACGUUCUUCUGCUAGGGAAGUACUGACUGGUUGGUGGCCGUGGCUGUUCACGCACUCGCUCUUGCUGUGGCUGGCAUGCUGUUCUGUCCUCUCUUGUUCCAGGAAUUGCUGUCUGAGGUUGUGUGUGUGUGUGUGUGUGUGUGUGUGUGUGUAGAAGCCAUCAUCAUCAACCACAGCAGGUGAUAAUGAUGGUUCCUGCUUUCAUCAUCAUCGGGGCUAGCCAGACCAACCUGGGGCUGUACUCUGGGGUGACGCUGUAUGCCUCAGGUGGGUCUGGAGACCCCAGACAUGUGAAGCAUUCUCCAUACAUGGAUGGAUAAGGCCCUUGUACAGAGUUAGCAGCUGGGGGGGGUGAGAAAAACUGGCAGAGACGUCUCAGAACACCUAACUUCAUAGAAGCUGUUUUAGCUAGAGAUGAGAUGUGAAGUUUCCAGUUCAGAUUAUAAGUAAAGGACAGACCGAGGAUGUUCAGUGUAGAAGAGGGGGACAGUUGAGUGUCAUUGAAGAAGAGGGGAUAGUUGUCUGGAAGAUUGUGUCGAGUUGAUAGAUGGAGGAAUUGAGUUUUUGAGGCAUUGAACAAUACCAAGUUUGCUCUGCCCCAAUCAGAAAUUUUAGAAAGAUCAGAAGUCAGGCGUUCUGUGGCUUCCCUGCGUGAUAUGUUUACCUCCUGAAGGGUUGGACGUCUAUGAAAAGACGUGGAAAAGUGCAGGGUGGUAUCAUCAGCAUAGGAGUGGAUAGGACAAGAAGUUUGGUUUAGAACGGUCAGAAAGGAAACUUGAGAUGAAGUUACAGAGAGAAGGAUAGAAACCGUAGGAGGGUAGUUUUGAAAUCAAAGCUUUGUGCCAGACUCUAUCAAAGGCUUUUGAUAUGUCCAAGGCAACAGCAAAAGUUUCACCAAGUCUCUAAAAGAGGAUGACCAAGACUCAGUAAGGAAAGCCAGAAGAUCACCAGUAGAGCGGCCUUGACGGAACCCAUACUGGUGAUCAGAUAGAAGGUUGUGAAGUGAUAGAUGUUUAAGAAUCUUCCUGUUGAGGAUAGAUUCAAAAACUUUAGAUAAGCAGGAAAUUAAAGCAAUAGGACGGUAGUUUGAGGGAUUAGAGCGGUCACCCUUUUUAGGAACAGGUUGAAUGUAGGCAAACUUCCAGCAAGAAGGAAAGGUAAAUGUUGACAGACAGAGCUGAAAGAGUGUAGAAGAGGGGGACAGUUGAGUGUCAUUGAAAGAGGGAAUAGUUGUCUUUUUUUUUUUUUUUUUUUAUGUAGGAAGGACACUGGCCAAGGGCAACAAAAAUCUAAUAAAAAAAAAAAGCCCACUAAAAUGCCAGUCCCAUAAAAGGGUCAAAGCAGUGGUCAGAAAUUGGUGGAUAAGUGUCUUGAAACCUCCCUCUUGAAGGAAUUCAAGUCAUAGGAAGGUGGAAAUACAGAAGCAGGCAGGGAGUUCCAGAGUUUACCAGAGAAAGGGAUGAAUGACUGAGAAUACUGGUUAACUCUUGCAUUAGAGAGGUGGACAGAAUAGGGGUACUUCAGAGGUAAAUAUGAUUACAUCGACUUACUGUUUAAGGACUUAAAUAUACUAACUUUCGACCUCUUAAAGAAAUAUUUCAUAGCGCUGACCAUAUAUAAAAAUAUUAAUGGUAAUGAUCCUAAUAACAUAAUAUUUAAUAUAUUCCACCAUAGCCAAGGUACCCGAGGAAAUCAUCUUAAUUAAUCUCAUUUGCCCACAAGCAAGAACUAGUUUGUAUAAAUUUUCCACACACUGUGUUGGUCCCAAAGUAUGGAACAUAUUGCCUGAUAAUACAAAAAAUUGUUGUAAUUUCAAUAUUUUCAAAAAGUAAAAUGAAAAAGUUCCUGUUUAAUAGUCUAAGUCAAAACUGAGAUCUGUAAUAAAGUUUUAGUAUUUUUUUUUAUAUUUGAAUGAUGUAGCUUAUUACAAACAUAACUUAUCUUAAAGAUAUUAGCCCCUAAAAAAUGGUGUAAUAAUAUUGUGCCACCCUGUGAGGAAUUACCAGCCUGGUAUAUAGAAAGAUUAUUAUUAUUAUUAUUAUUAUUAUUAUUAUUAUUAUUAUUAUUAUUAUUAUUAUUAUUAUUAUUACAGUGGAACCUUAGUUACUGAAUGCCUCCCUUUCUGAGCAAAUCGGUUUUCUAACAAUUUUGAAAUGAUUCAUUCAGUUGCUGUACCAUAAUUCAGUUCCUGAACAAAGUUAUUCGAUUUCAUAUAUUAAAAGACAUAGCAAAAGCUACCAUUUAUUAUUAAUUUAUAGUUUAUUUAAAUAUUUUCUUUGUUUUAUAUAUUUGAAGGAGAGACACAGUGGGUAAGACAGUAAUUCAAUCUUUGAAAUAAGGUAAAUGUGAUCCUAUUAAAGAUCCUCAACGUAAACAAACAGGAUUUGACACUCAGGAGUAAGCCACCUGUGGCUCUUGAUGACCUACAAUGCCAUCACUACUUGAACUGCAUUUUCACAGUAACUUUUCAAAGCAGCAAGAUGUCUAAGUGUUAUGAUUACCUUCAUUUUGGUGGUGUGUGUGUUGUUCCUCUGUGUCACUCUGUAAGGCUUCCCUCACUAGAUUGGUGAUAAUGAGAAUACCUGCACGCUCUAAACAAAAUCUUCUGUGUCCUGCGUCACUAAGCUCACCCAAUGCAUCUUUUUUUUGGAUAAAUAAUUUUUGAGUUUUUCCAGCAAAACUGCCCAAGCUGUGCAACUGAUCCUCAUAAAGUGAAGGCAAGAGUACUUUCCCUUUUCUAUCGGAGGCCAAGGGGCUAAAAGAAAGGUGUGAAUGAGUGUGUGUGCGUGAAAGUUCUGUGCCUCAUCAUGACUACCACUUUUUUUUGUGAGGGAGACUGCUUUGGUACAUGUAUGUAUGUAUGAUCAUCAUUAUUAUUAUUAUUAUUAUUAUUAUUAUUAUUAUUAUUAUUAUUAUUAUUAUUAUUAUUAUUAUUAUUGUUAUUAUCAUCAUCAUGCACUUUAACUCUGAUGCUGACUAUGGGCAAGCAAAGAAAAUUCUUAUGGAUAGAUUUGGAAACAAAAGUAUCAUGGCUGAUGCUUACACAAAAAAGUUAAUGAAUUGGCUACCGAUCUCUCAGCAUAACAGUCCAGCAUUAACAGCAAUCUCAGAUUUUUUGAAGUGCUGUCUAGCUGCAAUGAAACACACUUCUCAUUUGUCAUUUCUGAACAACUGUAGAGAGCAGAGAAAGAUGCUAGCAAACUCCCUAAUGAUAUUGUUCAUGAGUGAAGAAAGCAAGUAAAGACAUAUCUUGAUACUAACAGUAACAGCAACACUCCUAGCAGUGAUGAAGACCACCACCCACCCUUUAAAAUGUUAUGUCAAUUUAUCCAGAAGGAAGCAAAAGGGGCAAGCAACCCCUUUGUUUCCUGGGAUUCAGUAAAUACGGAAGGAAAUGAUUGGAUCAAGACUCAAACACAAGCAGCCAAUUGGAAACCAAGGGAAUCAAACACCAUGACAAAAAAUAGAGGGAGUACAACUUUCAUGGCUAAAUCAAUUGAGGAAAAACCAUUGUGCUCAUGCCAAGGUAAAGUAAGUGUCCAAGCCAACAAACAGUAUCUCAAGGAGCAGGAAAGGAAAGGAUAGUUCUGUCACUACUGUACAAAGGAUCAUGAUUUAGAUGAUUGCAAGGAAUUUGCCAAACUUGACAGUAAUACUAUCAGUAAAACAGAUCACCUGAGAGCUAAUGAAGACCUGCCGGUGCAGCUACACAGAUAUUGCACACCUCAUUGCAUAAAUAUCCUACAGUCUGGAAGCAAACGUAGGAUAUUCCUUGAGUAUAUCCCUGAGAGUGGCUGAGUCCAAGAAAUGGUCAGUGAGGCUGUACAAGUGAUGUUGACCUUGCACCAUAAAUGUAGCAAUGACAGAACAUUCCGUGACAUAAUGACGCAGUGUGUGUCGCCUUGGUGCAGCACACAGCACACAGCACACGCCAGGAGAAGCACCGACUUCCCAAAAGUAUUUAUAGCCUAAACUGAGACUCAUUGCCACCCUGUUGUGUGAUGCAGUGUGUCUCUCAUAGGUGGGAGACACGUACAUAGUGAACACUACUGCCACUGUCCCUAUGGCAACAAAGCUGCAACUGAUCACUAAUGCUACUAUAUACAAAGUCCUUAAUGGUACUCUUAACACAGCCCACAGCGUACUCAGCGCCAGGGUCCACCGUGUCAUCCCGAAGGGCACACUGAGCAAGGCAGUCUGCCCCUUCAUUAAGGGGGAUGCCCACGUGAGAGGGUAUCCAGGUGAAGUGUGUGUGUGUGUGUGUGUCCAAAAUUUGUUUUCUUAUCGUAUGACAUAAUUAUAGUUUUAGAUCCUCAUCAGUCACUGCUACACCUUGCAACCAGUAUUUGGAGAACACAGUGAGAAUAAUUGAGGGUGGUUGCAUCACCCUCAAUCACGAUCUACAAAACUCAAACGAUGACCAAAGGGGCAAUGGAUCUGUACAUGAGUGAGGUGGCGAGGGGCGUGGCCAGGGGGCGGCUAGCAGCGUGUGCCACCAGGGAAAUGUGUAUGAACAUAAAAAAAGGCGCCCGUUAAGAAAGGUUCGUUCGGUGCAAGGAGUUGGCACAGGAGGCGUCUGAGGCUGUGCAGAGCGGCCGUCUGAACCUGGUGCCACAGCUGCACAGGAGGGCAUGGCAUAGCUGGCUGGACAACAUCACAGACUGGUGUGUCUCCCAGCAACUCUGGUGGGGCCACAGAAUGCCAGUGUACCACAUCACUGCAGCAGACGGCCGGGAGGUGUGGGUGGCAGCUGCUCGGAGGAAGAUGCAAGGCGGAAGGCUGUGGAGAAGGAAGACUGUGCUGCUGCAUGGCCUCCUGUGUGAUGGUGGCAGCCACAAGACAUCCAAGUCCUGGGGCAAUGUGAUAAACCCCCUGGAUGUGAUCAGUGGGGCGUCCCUGGAGGUACUGUGUGAGAGGAUGGAGGGGAGCCUGAAUACAGAAGAGGUACUCACUGGUAUCAGGAGGAACUUCCCCACAGGCAUCCCAGAGUGUGGAGCUGAUGCCCUUUGGUUCACCCUGUGCUCCACCAACUUCAAUACUGCACACCCCGUCCUGCAGCCUCAAGGCACUCACCUCUCCUUUUCCAGUCAUGGGUGCCUUGCCUCCUCCUUGCAACACCACCACCACCACCACUGCUGCCACCACCUACGAGGGGGAGAGACUGUGAUGUGGCUGCGGGUGGCUAGGUUCGGAGGCCUCCAGAGAGCUGCCCAGAGUGAAGCUUGUGGUAUAGAGGGACAGCUGCUGAUCAUCAAGCUUACAUAGUGACUGGAGGAAAGUGGGAGGAGCCUGGAGGGAGUGAUGGAGGUACAGUACUUGGAGAAAAUCCCUUCACCAUGACAACUGGGUGUCUGCUGUACAGGCCACUGACCAAUGGAGAAACCUUGAGAACCCAUCUAUGUGGCCUCUGAAAAUGGUCAUGGUGAGAGAGCAGAGCAUUUCAGAAUACAAGCCAUGAUUUCACACCUGCAGCACUGCCCACCACAUACUCCAGCAGCAGCAGCAGCAGCAGCAGCAGCAGCAGCAGCAGACAGCUAAAUGCUGCACCACCCAUCAAGAGGAUGAAGACUGCAGCCACAUCAGAGAGGCUGGCUGUGAUUUUUAGUCUUCCUGCCACAUGUUGAGGUUCCUGCUGAUAGCCAUUUGGUCCUCAGCUUGUUCAUCAGGCCUGACUCGCACAUCUUCUGCAGACUGUGGGAAGAAUAAGGAUUUGUAGAGAAAGAAAGUCUGGUACGGAAGAUUGAAAAGAAAUAUUGUCAUUGUGGAAAAAGCUGAAGUGUAUUAUGCUUUUAUGUUGUGUAAUAAUGUAGUAGUAAAAUGCAGGCUGUAUGGAAUGAAGGCACAUCAGGAUUUUAUAAGAUUAAAUUUUACAGGGAAGAUUAAAAAGGAAUAUUGCAUCAUUGCAUGUCCCUUGCACCUUCACCUCUGACUCCCAUCCUUUGCAGUUCCAUCCUUCCAUCCACUUUCUACUUUCUCCUCAAUCUUAAUUCACACACACACGCACACGUGCACACACACCUGUGGUCAAAUAUCUUCCUGAAGGGUGAAUUUUUUUUGCCGCCCAAUAGCAAUGCCUCCUGUGAUGUACUGGACUGGCAGUUCCUUGCUUCUGGAGGAGUCUGCAAUAAGAAGACCACGAAUGUAGUCGCUGGUUGUGACAUUCACACCUAUGAACACAUACUUACCUGCCAAGUGUUUUUUUUUUUUUUUUUUUCAUUUGUUUAACUUAAUUUUUUUCUUUUUUCAUGUAAGAGGAGGACUGGCCAAGGACAACAAAAAGAGCAAAAAGGAAAAAGACCCACUGACCUGCCAGUCCCAAAAGAAAGGUCAAAAAGAUCAUAAAAAAUUGGAAGAUAAGUUUUAUGAAACCCCCCUCUUGAAAGAAUCCGAGUCAUAGGAAGGAGGAAAUACAGAAGCAAGUAGGGAGUGUGGGAUUAGCUAACAGUGAGAUACUGAUGGUGGUUAUGCUAAAUUGGGAAAUGUGUGUAGCUUUAUCUAAAUGAAGAAGGAAUCUGGCUAAUUUAUCUUACCUGAUGGAAGAAUCUUAGUGUUUUCAUUUAUCAGAGGUAAGAUAUGAAGCAAAUGUUUAUAUGAUAAUUCCAAGUUUGCAUCUUUAUCAAUUAUAAGGAGAACUAACU
This is an RNA transcript of Scylla paramamosain (green mud crab), 6728 nucleotides long. It is a transcript of the gene named valine--tRNA ligase-like, with no coding region annotated. The transcript has 8 exons. The record is from RefSeq and is a predicted model, not a curated record. NCBI's taxonomy places the organism in Eukaryota, Metazoa, Arthropoda, Malacostraca, Decapoda, Portunidae.